This 1344-nucleotide ribosomal RNA is filed under the name uncultured bacterium. RNAcentral's name for it is "16S ribosomal RNA". It matches the Rfam family "Bacterial small subunit ribosomal RNA", at positions 28 to 1378 of the family's 1533-position model. The record is from RNAcentral.
GACGAACCCUUGCGGCGUGCUUAACACAUGCAAGUCGAACGGAAAGGCCCUGCUUUUGUGGGGUGCUCGAGUGGCGAACGGGUGAGUAACACGUGAGUAACCUGCCCUUGACUUUGGGAUAACUUCAGGAAACUGGGGCUAAUACCGGAUAGGAGCUCCUGCUGCAUGGUGGGGGUUGGAAAGUUUCGGCGGUUGGGGAUGGACUCGCGGCUUAUCAGCUUGUUGGUGGGGUAGUGGCUUACCAAGGCUUUGACGGGUAGCCGGCCUGAGAGGGUGACCGGCCACAUUGGGACUGAGAUACGGCCCAGACUCCUACGGGAGGCAGCAGUGGGGAAUAUUGCACAAUGGGCGGAAGCCUGAUGCAGCAACGCCGCGUGCGGGAUGACGGCCUUCGGGUUGUAAACCGCUUUCGCCUGUGACGAAGCGUGAGUGACGGUAAUGGGUAAAGAAGCACCGGCUAACUACGUGCCAGCAGCCGCGGUGAUACGUAGGGUGCGAGCGUUGUCCGGAUUUAUUGGGCGUAAAGGGCUCGUAGGUGGUUGAUCGCGUCGAAAGUGUAAUCUUGGGGCUUAAACCCUGAGCGUGCUUUCGAUACGGGUUGACUUGAGGAAGGUAGGGGAGAAUGGAAUUCCUGGUGGAGCGGUGGAAUGCGCAGAUAUCAGGAGGAACACCAGUGGCGAAGGCGGUUCUCUGGGCCUUUCCUGACGCUGAGGAGCGAAAGCGUGGGGAGCGAACAGGCUUAGAUACCCUGGUAGUCCACGCUGUAAACGGUGGGUACUAGGUGUGGGGUCCAUUCCACGGGUUCCGUGCCGUAGCUAACGCUUUAAGUACCCCGCCUGGGGAGUACGGCCGCAAGGCUAAAACUCAAAGGAAUUGACGGGGCCCCGCACAAGCGGCGGAGCAUGCGGAUUAAUUCGAUGCAACGCGUAGAACCUUACCUGGGUUUGACAUGGAUCGGGAGUGCUCAGAGAUGGGUGUGCCUCUUUUGGGGUCGGUUCACAGGUGGUGCAUGCCUGUCGUCAGCUCGUGUCGUGAGAUGUUGGGUUAAGUCCCGCAACGAGCGCAACCCUUGUUCACUGUUGCCAGCACGUUAUGGUGGGGACUCAGUGGAGACCGCCGGGGUCAACUCGGAGGAAGGUGGGGAUGACGUCAAGUCAUCAUGCCCCUUAUGUCCAGGGCUUCACGCAUGCUACAAUGGCUGGUACAGAGAGUGGCGAGCCUGUGAGGGUGAGCGAAUCUCGGAAAGCCGGUCUCAGUUCGGAUUGGGGUCUGCAACUCGACCUCAUGAAGUCGGAGUCGCUAGUAAUCGCAGAUCAGCAACGCUGCGGUGAAUACGUUCCCGGG